RNAcentral lists this long non-coding RNA (1926 nucleotides) under Stegodyphus dumicola. RNAcentral's name for it is "uncharacterized LOC118205909". The record is from RNAcentral. Lineage: Eukaryota; Metazoa; Arthropoda; Arachnida; Araneae; Eresidae.
UGCUUUAAGGAACAACGAGGAAAUGAGUUUUCAACAUUCAUUAUUCAUUCAUUAUAAGGAAACAGUCUCAGUCCUCCUAGCCGACAGAAGUCGGUCGUAUUUUUAAAAAUGGAACUAGCCAGAAAAAACAAAGUUCAAAAUCCGAGUCUCGGUACUGAAUUAGAAUUUUCUAUCUUUGCCCGUAUUUAUAAUUUACCUUAUUGUCUCUGGAAAAUCUUUCAAAUUGGAAUAGUUCCUUUUAAAAUCUUCCUUAAUUCUUUCUAUAUUUCCCCAUUGCACUCAGACUAAGCGUACAUUCGUCGACGAAGUGCCUGGCGUUUCCAAACUUAUAUUAAGCAUUUAUCAUUCUAUAGAUGGAACCGAUUCAAAUAAACCGGGAAACGCCCAUGAUUAGUCAGUACCUGAUUUAUAUCACUGUUAUUUAUGAUAUUCAACUUCUUGUUUAACUUUAUACUUUUCAUUAACUCUUUUUUUUUCUUGUUAGCCGACUCCCAACAAAAAUUCCAUUUCAGCAAAGGUCUUUAUUCUUGAAUCCUGGAUAUCAAAAUUAUCAGUUCCAUCCCCAAGUGCCGCCAUUUCAGCAAGGGUGUCCGCCCUUCCAUUUCCGACAAUUUAACUGUGUGCUUUCACCCAGUAUAAGUUAACAAUGUUUUCAUUCAGCCUUUUUAAACAAGUCUUUUAUUUCAUUAAUGAGUUGAUUUUUAUGAUUGGUUGGGCGAGUGCCUGUAGCAUUUUCCACAUAGCUGCUAUUGCCGAAGAUUGCACGAAGCCGAGUCUCAGAAAUUUUCUAUUUUUUUUUUUUUAAUGAAACCAGAUCGCUCUGUACUUCGGGAGAAUAACGAAAAGCAAACUGCAGAAAUAUUGGAAAAGGAAUACAAGUAUUUUAUUUUUUAAUGUAUGAAAUAAUCGUUAUUUAAUGAUUCAAAUUUGUAUUUUAAAUUGCUAAAGUAUGUUUACUUUUCCUACGUUGAUAUCGUUUACCGAACUUACUACAAAUACGGAUAGAUUGGGAACCAUUCUAAGAACGGAGGCCCCAAAACUACCAAUUUGCACAUGCUAAGUAACGUUUACAUUUUCAUCCGUAAAAAUCCUGCUUAUUGCCAACAGGUCAUGUUUACAUCCACCAGUUCUUUUGCCUACUCGUUCUAAAAUACUGGGAGAUAUAGAAUUCCAUUCAUUUUUCCCAUCCCCUUUGCAUGCUUUUGAAUAAGAUACUUAUGAAGGUAUGAGAUAGACCCCGGGUGUAAUUUCGUCCAUGGUUUAUAAAGAACAGUAUAAUUCAUGCAGAAUGGAUCGUAGCACGUUUUCGUACUUAUUUUCACAGCUGGCAAACAAUUUCUAUUUAAAUACUAGAAUAUCAAAUAACAGCAUCACUUUAUCUAUAAUUAUGAUUACAGUUCUCGUAACUAUGUGAAGCGGCCACUCAGCAUCUUAAGUAAUAAUUUGUAAAUAAUUCAUGUUUCUAUUGUUUCCUGCAUAAUUUAAGACAUAUUUUUUAUGUUUGUUCCUCAGAUACAUUUGUAUCAAGAACUGAAAUUAUAAUGAAAUAUGUAAGCACAUGAUUUGUUUCUUUAUCUUUGCCUUUACUUGUGAUGAAACUGCAGAGAGGUAAUGUUUUAUAUGCAUUUAUUAUGCAUUACUUGGAGGGGGGAUAAAAUAUUUUAUUUCUUAACUACUGUUGGCAAGCAGAUUUGAGCCCUUGAUACUGAAUGUUCCAGGCCGCAGAACAUGUUGGAAGCUUGAAUGAGUUGGCAAACCUAACUGUAAAAUGCUAAAUAUGUGUAGUUAAGCAUUAUCUGCAUCCAAACUUGAAUAUGACUCCUGCAUUUGUUGAAAUGGAGCUGGACUACAUGUGAUUUAGAGAGAAAAAAACUCUUGAUUAUUAAGUAUUGUUUGACUUGUGAAAUAAACAUUUUGGUGUUUUUA